GGGCGGGACACGUGGUAUCCUGUCUGAAUAUGGGGGGACCAUCCUCCAAGGCUAAAUACUCCUGACUGACCGAUAGUGAACCAGUACCGUGAGGGAAAGGCGAAAAGAACCCCGGCGAGGGGAGUGAAAAAGAACCUGAAACCGUGUACGUACAAGCAGUGGGAGCCUCUUAAUGGGGUGACUGCGUACCUUUUGUAUAAUGGGUCAGCGACUUAUAUUCUGUAGCAAGGUUAACCGAAUAGGGGAGCCGAAGGGAAACCGAGUCUUAACUGGGCGUUAAGUUGCAGGGUAUAGACCCGAAACCCGGUGAUCUAGCCAUGGGCAGGUUGAAGGUUGGGUAACACUAACUGGAGGACCGAACCGACUAAUGUUGAAAAAUUAGCGGAUGACUUGUGGCUGGGGGUGAAAGGCCAAUCAAACCGGGAGAUAGCUGGUUCUCCCCGAAAGCUAUUUAGGUAGCGCCUCGUGAAUUCAUCUCCGGGGGUAGAGCACUGUUUCGGCAAGGGGGUCAUCCCGACUUACCAACCCGAUGCAAACUGCGAAUACCGGAGAAUGUUAUCACGGGAGACACACGGCGGGUGCUAACGUCCGUCGUGAAGAGGGAAACAACCCAGACCGCCAGCUAAGGUCCCAAAGUCAUGGUUAAGUGGGAAACGAUGUGGGAAGGCCCAGACAGCCAGGAUGUUGGCUUAGAAGCAGCCAUCAUUUAAAGAAAGCGUAAUAGCUCACUGGUCGAGUCGGCCUGCGCGGAAGAUGUAACGGGGCUAAACCAUGCACCGAAGCUGCGGCAGCGACACUAUGUGUUGUUGGGUAGGGGAGCGUUCUGUAAGCCUGUGAAGGUGUACUGUGAGGUAUGCUGGAGGUAUCAGAAGUGCGAAUGCUGACAUAAGUAACGAUAAAGCGGGUGAAAAGCCCGCUCGCCGGAAGACCAAGGGUUCCUGUCCAACGUUAAUCGGGGCAGGGUGAGUCGACCCCUAAGGCGAGGCCGAAAGGCGUAGUCGAUGGGAAACAGGUUAAUAUUCCUGUACUUGGUGUUACUGCGAAGGGGGGACGGAGAAGGCUAUGUUGGCCGGGCGACGGUUGUCCCGGUUUAAGCGUGUAGGCUGGUUUUCCAGGCAAAUCCGGAAAAUCAAGGCUGAGGCGUGAUGACGAGGCACUACGGUGCUGAAGCGACAAAUGCCCUGCUUCCAGGAAAAGCCUCUAAGCAUCAGGUAACAUCAAAUCGUACCCCAAACCGACACAGGUGGUCAGGUAGAGAAUACCAAGGCGCUUGAGAGAACUCGGGUGAAGGAACUAGGCAAAAUGGUGCCGUAACUUCGGGAGAAGGCACGCUGAUAUGUAGGUGAAGCGACUUGCUCGUGGAGCUGAAAUCAGUCGAAGAUACCAGCUGGCUGCAACUGUUUAUUAAAAACACAGCACUGUGCAAACACGAAAGUGGACGUAUACGGUGUGACGCCUGCCCGGUGCCGGAAGGUUAAUUGAUGGGGUUAGCGGUAACGCGAAGCUCUUGAUCGAAGCCCCGGUAAACGGCGGCCGUAACUAUAACGGUCCUAAGGUAGCGAAAUUCCUUGUCGGGUAAGUUCCGACCUGCACGAAUGGCGUAAUGAUGGCCAGGCUGUCUCCACCCGAGACUCAGUGAAAUUGAACUCGCUGUGAAGAUGCAGUGUACCCGCGGCAAGACGGAAAGACCCCGUGAACCUUUAC
RNAcentral lists this ribosomal RNA (1704 nucleotides) under Escherichia coli. RNAcentral's name for it is "partial 23S ribosomal RNA". It matches the Rfam family "Bacterial large subunit ribosomal RNA", at positions 415 to 2104 of the family's 2925-position model. Lineage: Bacteria; Pseudomonadati; Pseudomonadota; Gammaproteobacteria; Enterobacterales; Enterobacteriaceae. The record is from RNAcentral.